Rosa chinensis is the source of this 1776-nucleotide long non-coding RNA. RefSeq lists it as uncharacterized. The transcript is spliced from 11 exons. The record is from RefSeq and is a predicted model, not a curated record. Lineage: Eukaryota; Viridiplantae; Streptophyta; Magnoliopsida; Rosales; Rosaceae.
CAUAUAUUGAAAGAUGAGUUUACUGUUACUACUGUUCAUCAAGGGGUGGAAAAGACGGUUCUGCCCUCAUUUGAAUUUUUUUUACGCUCUGCCACUGACCUUUUUUUUUUCCUUCUCUCUUCGUCCAGAAGCCUCCUAGACCGACUUUUUGCUCUCUCCCCUGCUUUCUAAACAGCCUCCUUCACUCCCUCAGACGACUAAAUCGGCGGAAAGAGAGAGUGAAAGUUGGAUCUGCUGCUGUUGGUUGCUUUAAGAUACAGAGGCUGGGUUGAAAACGAGUACGAAAUCUCACCGUCUACGAGUACGACAUCUGGGUUCAGAGUUGAAGCUAUUAACUUGCUUCUUUCAUUAGUUAAUCUAACGAGAUUUUAUGCAAAAAAGUAUUGGUACCGUCUUUCUGCUGCUGUUCCAUUGUCUGUUACUUAGUAUUAUCUUGCUUUCCCAUUUUGAUUCAGAUUUUGGGAACAGUUUGCAGUCAGAUUCCUUGAAUCUUUUGGAUCCAGAGUGUGUAAUGCCAAGAGGUAUAUGUAAGGGUAGGAGCAGCUCAAGUUUAGAAAAUUAGUAAAUAUUCAAUUUAAGGGCAAUGAACUCGAAACUUUCCGGAUCCCAAGUUGACAUGCUAAGGUACAACAUACUAAAAUUUCAAGCAAAUUGGAGUUCAGCAAACAUGGCAAAAGAUGGAUGGAAACAGACUGAAUUGUGCAGUUUUCUUCAGAGUUUUUGUAGCAACCUGGAAUGUAAGAGGGAAAUCUCUCCAUAGUGACCUUAAUCUGCACGAUUUUCUGCAGCUUGAUAAUCCAUCAGACAUAUAUGUCUUGGGCUGACUUCGAUAAGAUUGGACAAGGUGGUUUUGGGGCUGUUUACUAUGCCGAGCUGACAAGCAAGAGAAAGGGACGAGACGAAACAAAAAGAGAGAGAGAGAGAGAGACAAGAGAACAGGCAAGAACGAAAAGAAGGAGAAGAGAGAGACGGGAAGCUCUUGCUUAGAUUGUACUUUUUGCGUUUUAAACAGCUCCAGUUUUUAACAAGAAGGUCGGCUACUUUGUCUAUGUAAUUUUUCUGAUGGAGAUCUUCAACAUCAGUGUAGGUUAUUUGUUUGGAACAAAUAAACACUACAGACUGAAAGCACACUGGAAGAUUACAUGAUGAUAGUUACUGAUGUUGGAUUUAGAACAAAUCUCCUGAACAGAAUAAGGACAAGUAUGAUCGUAGAGUUCUACGAGUUCAGAGUUGAUGAGUAAAAUAGAGGCAAUGUUUGAAGCUGAACUUGAGAGGUUAGGGCUAAACAGCAGUACUUCUACUUUGGAGCGAAGAUUAAUUUGAGAGCUUCCAAACAGUGUUCAUCAAGUUUCUGAAGAUUACAUUUGGGAAAACUCUAAUACUUUACAGGCCAGUGUUUACAUCAGAGGAAGUCAAGCCAUAACAUCAACAACUAGAACUUGCCUGGUGGCUCCAAAUGAUCACAGAACACUAAGCCUAGAUGCUUUACAAAAGAAUGCACCAACUGUGAAGAACAGACUGCUGCUGUUUGAUUUGUAGCACCAUCGAGGUGGAAGCAGCUUCUAAGGAUUAUGCUCAUGUCAAAGCGUCCUAAAAUCCCCCCUUCUGGCCCAAGCCACAGGACCAACAAGACACCUAAUCCCUCGAGAGAUUACUAAACACUUCUAUUAUUUGUAUACAGAGAACGCAUUUCCAACUGAAGUUUGGUUGAAUUUUUUGGCAAACUUCUUCAUGUGUUUCUGAUUUUGUUUGAUGGGUUUGAUUAUUCUUCUAUCG